This 7423-nucleotide long non-coding RNA is filed under the name Sus scrofa (pig). RNAcentral's name for it is "lncRNA (ENSSSCG00065015764.1)". The record is from RNAcentral. Lineage: Eukaryota; Metazoa; Chordata; Mammalia; Artiodactyla; Suidae.
UUUUUUUUUUUUUAAACAAAUGAUUCUCCAUUUUCUGUAUGCCCUUAAGAUAAUCAUUUCCCAAGUUUAAAUAAAUGCUUUGAAAUAAUUUUUACCAGUUAAACAGUUGUUUUGAUUGUUUUAAUCCAGAAUAAUAACCAAAUAUGAAAAAUACAGCACAAAAUCAUGUACUUUUUUCAGGUGCAUCUGGUCACCAAGUUAAAAAUUUAUAGCAAUGAUAUAUAAACAAAAUAUCCUCUCUCACUGUACAUAAGUAUACCAAAAUUAAUGAACAAGAACAAAAAACAAAACCCUCCUACAACAUAGGGCUAAAAAAGCUAAUCAAUAGUCAGGAGAUAGGAAGUUAAAUAAAACAAUUCAUGUUAUUUCCUCUCCUCCAUAUAUAAAUUCUAAAAGGAAUCAUCAUGCAUGGUGUAGCAAAAAAAUAACAAAAUGAUGUGACAUACUCUUCUGUAAAUAAAAAAAACACUGUUCUUUGCAUUUAUCAUCCCUAUUUAUGAAAGAGCAAGUUUCUGGCCCAGAGCUAAAGAGGAAAUAAAGCUGGAGAUUAGAAUUCUAAUUUGUGUCACCUAUAAGUUCCUUCCUUCAGCAUUCAGGAACUAAUCUACCUAGACUGGUUGGUUCAUAGCCAGAGGUGAUUCUGACAUAUUAGAAUCUACUGUGAGCUUCUUAAAAGUAUUCAUGCCUAGAACAUAACUCCCAGACCUUUUGAUUCUGUAGCUCUCAGGUAGGGAGUUGUCAUUAUGUUUUUUAAAAGCUCUCUCUGUAAUAAGGAGCUGAAAAAAACCCAUCAGUAUCAUAUUUUAAAAAUUAUUACAUAUUUGGGGAGUUCCUGGCAUGGCACAGUGGAAACAAAUCCAACUAGGAAUCAUGAGGUUGCGGAUUCAGUCUUUGGCCUCGUUCAGUGGGUUAAGGAUCUGGUGUUGCCGUGAGCUGUGGUUGUACGUCGCAGAAGCGGCUCAGAUCUGGCGUUGCUGUGGCUGUGGUGUAGGCCAAUGCCACAGCAACACUAGAUCCGAGCCACAUCUGUGACCUACACCACAGCUUAUGGCAAUGCCGGAUCCUUAACCCACACUGAGCAAGGCCAGGGAUCGAACCCGCAAUCUCAUGGUUCCUAGUCGGAUUUGUUAACCACUGCGCCAUGACAGGAACUCCUACAAUUCUGUUGUUUAUUCAUAUAGUUCCCACAUAUUUAUUAUUUUAUAUUUUUACUGUCAUUAUGAAAAGAAUGUUUCCUUUAUUUUUUAACUGCUAGCACUGGCAAAAUAGUGAGGGAAGAAGGGAGGGAGGGAAAGGGAGAGAGGAGAAACUUAAAGCUUAAUUCUAUAUACAGCUUUCAAGGGAAAAUAUAGGUCAUCUAUCUUCAGCCGCUGUGUUCUCUUGGUUGUCUCACUAGUUUGUGUCAAUUUUCCAACAUUCUUUUAAGGAAAUUUCUUUUAAGGCAGCUGUGAGUGUGGUAGGGAGAGGUAGAGGAAAAGGGAGCUGCAGCAAGUCAUCAACACUUUGUGGUCUAAUGACCCAUCACCCAAAAUAGUAAAAAAGAUAUAAUACUGAAUGGGUCGCAAUUAACAGAAAAGACCGCAAAUUCUUUAUUAAACUUUUGGUUAUUUCAAACUACAUAAUCCAUACAAUAUAUUCAUUUAUCGUUUUUUACUAUUUUUUUGAGAAUGACAAAGUAACAGCCAAAAGAUGUUCUCAGAUAAAUUUCUAAAUUUUCUCUACAAGUAUUGUUUCUCUGUACUGCUAGAAAUGCUAAAAUGAAAUUCUUCAGGCUGAAGGGAAAUGACACAACAAAACACUAAAAGAAAUUAAAGAUGAUGUGAAUAAAGAUGAGAUAAACCAUGAUCACAAACUGGAAAACUCCACAUUGUUAAUUUGGCAAUUCUCUCCAAAUUAUCUACAGAUGCAAAGUAAUCCUAAUCAAAAUUAUAAAGGGCUUUUUGAAGAACAAAAAAGUUAAUUUUAGAAUUUAUAUAGAAAAGUCAAGGACCUAGAUUAAUAAAGCAAUUCUGAAAAAGAAAAAACAAAGAGUAUUCAUACUACUUGAUUUCAAGACACAAAGAUAAAACAAUCAAGACACAGGUAUUAGUGUAAGGACAGACAUAUAGUUCAAUGUCACAGGACAGAGUUCAGAAAUACACUUAUAUGUGUUUGGUGGAGGGAGUGUCUUUACAUCAAAUGGUGCUGGAACUUGAUUAUUUUACAGUAUAUAAUAAACCUCAACACUUAACUCACAUACCAUAUACAAAAAUUAACUAGAAAUAGACCAUAAGCCAAAAUGUUGAGUCAAUAUCACUAAACUUCUAGAAGAAAAUAAAUUUUUUUGUGUGUUUGACACUGGAUUAGGACAAGAUUUUUUGAAUAGGACAUAAAAACAUGAAUUUUAAGAGAAAAAACUGGUAAGAGAUUUUAUAUAGAAUAUAGAAAGAAGUAUUACAACUUAGUUUCUUUAAAUAGCAAAAAUUUGAUACAGUGUUUCACAUAGCUCUGUACAGAGAAAGUUGCUCAAUAUCACUAGUCAUCAGGGAAAAUGAAAAUUAAAAUCACAAUGGGAUAUCACUACAGACCCACUAGAAUGACUAAAAUUAAAAAGACCAACAAUAUCCAAUGUUGGCAAAAUGUGGAACAUUGGAACUCCCAUAUACUGCUAACGGAAAUGCAAAAUAGUUCAGUCACUUUGGUGAAACGUGACAGUAUUUUAUAAGGUUAAAUAUGCAAUUAAAAUACUACUGAGUAAUUCCAAUUCUAGGCAUUUAUCCCAGAGAAAUGAAAAUAUAUGCCCAAAGACUUAGAUGUGAAUAAGCCUAACAGCCAACAUUUGGAAACAAUUCAAAGUCUAUAAAAAAAGAAAAAUAAAUGGAUAAACAAAUAGUGCAAUAUUCAUGCUCUAGAGACCUAUUCAGCAAUAAAAGGAAAAGUCACAUACAACAUCAAGAAUGAAUAUUAAAAAUUAUGCUAAGUGGGGAGUUCCCGCCAUGGCUCAGAGGAAACAAAUCUGACUAGUAUCCAUGAGGAUGCAGGUUCGAUCCCUGGCCUGGCUCAGCUGGGUUAAGGAUCCGGCACUGCUGUGAGCUGUGGUACAGGUUGCAAACGCGGCUUGGAUCUGGUGUUGCUGUUGCCAUAGGCCAGUAGCUACAACUCCCAUUCGACUCCUAGCCUGGGAACCCCAUAUGCCACGGCUGCAGCCCUAAAAAGCCAAAAAAAAAAAAGCUAGGUGAAAGCAGUCACAAACAGAAGACUAUAUACCUAAUGAGUCCUAUAACAUAAAAUUCUAGAAAAGAUAAAACUACAGUGAUUGCCUGGGUUUGUAGAUACAAUGCAGGGACUGACUAAAAAGGAGCACAAGAAAACUUUUACAGGUGAGGGAACUGUCCUAUAUCUUGACUGUGCUGGCUGUUAUCAACUGCACACAUUUUCCAAAAUCUAUUAAUCUGUACUCUAAAAUGGAUGUAUUUUAUUGUGUAAGUAUUACCUCAAUAAAAAUCAUUACAAACAGAUUCAGGGUUUUAAAGACGCUAGAUACUGAAUGUAGUAGCACUGAAUUCUGACUCUUGAACUAGUCACUUGAAAUCAAAGAAAUGAUCUCUUACAUUUUCAGAGUCACAAAGAAAUGUGACACAUUUUCAAAAACUCAUGUGACUUUCUUUCUCCUCAAGCAAGCAACUUUUAGGUUAAAAAACAGUAUCAUUUACUUGCCAUCCACUUCUUUGCACAGUAUACUGAACCAAUGCCAGUGGCCAUGAAUUUUGAUCUUUUUUUCAUUGACAUUUAAUGAAGGUAAAUAGGCUGAUUAUUGCCCAACAUUUGGUCUUUGUUACUGAAGCUGUAAGUAGACUGGACCAAAAAAGGGGGUUUUUAUAUUAACAAUUCCUCACCAAAGGAAUCAGAUUCCUCCUCGAAAAAUGGAAUCCAGUAUUGGAACACAGAAAAGACAAAAUAAACCUAGAAUACUCUGUACCAGAAAGUAAGACAGGGCUCAAAAAAUGAUGAGGACAUGUCAAAAGGACAUAGGAGGGGUUCCCACUAGCUAAAUAUGGGGCACUAUAUGAUAACCUAUUGACUAGAAUAAGAAUCUCGAUUCCCAAUUGAUAGAGAAAAAAGAAAGCUCUUUCUCAACAGGGUAAAGUCAACUAAAAAAUACCGAAGAAAUGAUGGAGUUAGAUCACUGUUUUCAAAUCAUGAGAGAAAUGACUUAUUCUAGCAAUAAAUUAUCAUCAAUAUUAAAACUGAAAUGAUGAAAGUUUGAUAAAGAAAAUACAUUUAUCAUGAUCUCAAAGUAUCUGUCUAUAAAUUACUUAAUAAUCACAAGGAGAAAAAUAGUAAUAUUUCAGUGGAGAAACCUAGUGGGCAUCAACCUUGCCAAAGUCAACAUCACCUACUAAAGUGACACUGUGUGCAUUUCAUGAUGUGAUGCACUGGCAAGGACAUAUUGCUUAUUUAAUAUUCCCAUAAAAGAUAAUGACUUGAAUUUAACCAUGAAGAAACAAUUAGAAAACCUAAAUCGAGAGACAUUCUACAAAAUGAAUGACCUGUACUCUUCAAAAAAUAUCAACAUCAUUAAAAAUAAAAGGCUGGAACCAUUCUAGAUCAAAGGAGACUAAAGAGUAGUGAAAAUCAAAUUCAGUGAGUGAUCUUAAAUUGGAUUUUGGAUUAAAUGAGGGGGUAAAAAACUAUAUUCACUGGAACAAUUGGAAAAUUUUAAAUGAAAUUCAAAGAUUAGAUAAUAUAUCAAAAUUAACUUUACUGAUUUUUGGUAAUGUACUGUGUAGUUAAGCAAGUGAAUAUACUUAUUCUUAGGAAAUAGGAAAUAAACACAAAAUACUUAGGAGUAAAGAGUUACGAGGGGUAGGAUGUCUGUAACUUACCUCACACGGUUCAGAAAAACUGUAUGUAGUGUUAUAUGUAAUAUCUAUGAGAAAUAAUGAGAAUGAAUUAAGGCAAAUGUGGCAAAAUGUUAAAUGAUGAGUCUAGGUGAACUGCACAUAGAAGUUUCUGUGCUAUUUUUUAAACUUUUUUAUAAAGAUAAAAUGAUUUGAAAGUAAAAAGUUUAAAAAGGUAAGGGUGGACGAAUGCUGAACCCUACUUUUCUUCCACAAGUCAAAUAUCCCUUUCCUCUUCCAUAUAAUCCCAGCUGUCUUGCCAUUAAAUUAUACUUGCUUGUGUUGCUGCUUUGGUGCACAGUUAGAGGAAGAAAAACAAAUAAUAUUAAGAAGGAUGUGGAACGUAACAUCUUUCAGCAUUCUCUUAGUCUCAACAAUCUGAUAAAGAUACUCAAAACAGAAUAAAAACUUUUCCUGUCAAGGUCCAGAUAGCAACUAUUUUAGGCUUUGCAGGCUACAUACAGUCCUAUAACAUUUCUCCUUUUCCCCCCAAUCACCUCUUUAUGCUUGUAGGCAUUACAAAAAUAGACUGUGGGCUGGAUUUGGAGACAGGUCAUAGUUUGCUGACCCCUGACAGAAUUAUUAAAUUUCUCUAAGAACUACAAGUAUCUCUAUUGGUCCCCGAAAAUAGCAAGGACAUUACUGAAUAAAUAAAGCAGCAAAAAUUUUAUCAGCGUGGUAGUCAGUUCUUAGGGCAGUAAACAGUUAAUAAAGUUAAACUUUAAACAAACAAACAAAAGAAGAACAUUUCUUAAAGUUUCUUCUGUAACUCUAAAGUUGUCACAUUUGGGUUUGGGGUUUUUUUGAGGGGUAAGAAUGGGGCAAGGGGGUCACUUACAUAAAGUUGCUGAUUUUCUUUUUGAGACAGAGCACCUCAGGAAAGAGAACGAAGAAAAAACAAGUUCCACUUGGGAAAAGUAAGACGGCCUAGAUUUUAGAACUGCGAUAUAAAACUGAAGGGGUGACAUUUUAGAGCCGUUCCUGUCUUAAUUCAUAUCAUUCCCACUCCGUACCCGGAUUCUCCAAAUUUAAAUGGUAUUUUUAAAAAAUAGUAUAGAAAAUCUAGGAAUUAGAAGUAUAUGCCUACACAUAGGCUUUGUAAUAAUUAUGUGAGCAAGGCCUACCCAAGUAGAACAUGGGCCUUUGGUAACAGCCAUGGGCCUUUAGCUAUCGAUGGCUUACUGACAUUUCAAGCAAUGAACUAAAAAGAGCUGACAAGACGCAAUGCAUUGAUUUAAAUGCCACUCUCCUAGGUCUUAUUAUUUUAAAUGCCAGCAAGUCUUAGGGAAAAUGGAUCCACCAUUUUAAAUGUUUAUACUCUCUAAGAUCAGUCAUCUAAAAAGAAACCUUCUUACUUCAGGUAAGUUACUGCUUUUUACAUUAACCAAAUACGCAUUGUUGUGCUUACAAUGCUUACUGUAUGUCAUUAUGUUACCUUCAAUUUUGUCAAGCAGGUUAAAGAAUUGGAAAACAAAGUUUGAAACCUGAAUACCUAUCAAGGGUUAAAGUAUUAGAGAUAUACAACAAACUUAACUAUGAAUGACUCCUGUCAGUGUAUCUAAUUGUUGUUACUGUACAUGGAAAUUAAGCUUAAAGUACAAGUGGCAAAUGACUAUUAUUACCAUAUAUGUAACUCACCAGUAUUUAUAAUCAGAAUUUCUUGCCAUAAUUUUUCUUCUAUGACACUCGUAUAGUUAUUAAAACAUUGAAAGACAAAUGUAAGCCAUCCCAGUCAAUACCAAGGGUUUCUUAUAUCCUUCCACUAGUUGGAAAAGUUUAUACUAUCCCAAUUCUCAGCCACAAUCCAGGCUCAAUUAAAAGACUUACUGAAUUUUUCUUUUGUGUGCAUAUGCAUGUCUUUUGUCUUUUUAGGGCCGCACCUGAGACAUAUGGAGGUUCCCAGGCUAGGGAUCUAAUUGGAGCUGUUGCUGCCGGCCUACAUCAGAACCACAGCAACACCAGAUUCAAGCCACGUUUGCGACCUACACCACAGCUUGGGGCAACGCCAGAUCCUUAACCUACUGAGCAAGGCCAGGCAUUGAAUCCGCAACCUACAUGGUUCCUAGUCAGAUUCGUUUCCGCUGCGCCAAGACGGGAACUCCAAGACUUACUGAAUUUCUAAUCUGCUCUCAGUAAUGACUAUGGAUUUCUCCAGAUACUCAAGAUCACUAUAAACACUUGAAGAGCCAAUUGCACACUGGAGGUAAUAGUAUUACAAAGUCAGCUGCUGAGGGUAAUCUUGCCUUUUUCUAAACCCCUGUAGUGAUUUACAUAUGCUGCUCUGACAGCACUACUUUUAUAACCUGUACCAUAUUUAUUUAUGUAUAAAUAUUUCUUACCUCUUCCACUAGACAACAAAUUUCUUGAAAAUAGCAUCAGUAGCUAAAACUUUUUAAAUAUUUACAGUACCUUUAUUUCAACUGCAGUGGCCGGUACUUUCUGACAUAAUAAGGGUGAAAUAAAUAGUUCAUUUUAAAUUUAGCAAUGAGGAACUUGGAGUUCCUGUCAUGGCUCAGCGGUUAAUGAAUCCGACUAGGAACCAU